CCUACGGGAGGCAGCAGUGGGGAAUAUUGCGCAAUGGGCGAAAGCCUGAUGCAGCGACGCCGCGUGAGGGAAGAAGGUCUUCGGAUUGUAAACCUCUGUCAGCAGGGAAGAACGGUCACUGUGCUAAUCAGCAGUGAAUUGACGGUAACUGCCAAGGAAGCACCGGCUAACGACGUGCCAGCAGCCGCGGUAAUACGGAGGGGGCGAGCGUUAAGCGGAAUUACUGGGCGUAAGGGGCUCGUAGACGGUAUGUCAAGUCAAGGGUGAAAUCCCCGCGCUCAACGAUGGAACUGCCUUUGAAACUGUCAAGCUGGAGUGUGUGAGAGGAUAGUGGAAUUCCAGGUGUAGGAGUGAAAUCCGUAGAUAUCUGGAGGAACAUCAGUGGCGAAGGCGACUAUCUGGCACAUAACUGACGCUGAGGAGCGAAAGCGUGGGUAGCAAACAGGAUUAGAUACCCUGGUAGUC
This 465-nucleotide ribosomal RNA is filed under the name uncultured bacterium. RNAcentral's name for it is "partial 16S ribosomal RNA". It matches the Rfam family "Bacterial small subunit ribosomal RNA", at positions 338 to 795 of the family's 1533-position model. The record is from RNAcentral.